GGACUCCUGGAACAGUGAACCAGCCUGUUCCUGUUCUGAUCGGGCUUCAGACUCCUGGACUUCUGAGCCUUCCGGUUUUGAUCGGAUUCCCUAACCCAGCUCGGACUCCUGCUUGUUCUCUGGGCAUGCAGCAUCUUUUUCACUUUGACCGUUAUAGAGAACAAAGGGGAUCAGAUCCCGGGUCUGAGGGGAGGAGCUGGUUGGCCCUUAUAGUGUAUCGCUACCUGGACCAAGGAGUAAAGAGGCGCCUGGUCCUGGUCCGCCUCCUCACACACCU
This is a long non-coding RNA of Cyprinodon tularosa, 277 nucleotides long. RefSeq lists it as uncharacterized. The transcript has 3 exons. The record is from RefSeq and is a predicted model, not a curated record. Lineage: Eukaryota; Metazoa; Chordata; Actinopteri; Cyprinodontiformes; Cyprinodontidae.